GCAGGGGUGGCUGAGCGGUUUAAAGCGCUGGGCUGAAGACCUAGUAGACCUCACUAGAUCUCGCGGGUUCGAAUCCCGUCCCCUGCG
Molecule: transfer RNA, 87 nt
Filed under: Candidatus Diapherotrites archaeon CG08_land_8_20_14_0_20_34_12
Lineage: Archaea; Nanobdellati; Candidatus Iainarchaeota
Description: tRNA-Phe
Rfam family: tRNA
About the family: Transfer RNA (tRNA) molecules are approximately 80 nucleotides in length. Their secondary structure includes four short double-helical elements and three loops (D, anti-codon, and T loops). Further hydrogen bonds mediate the characteristic L-shaped molecular structure. tRNAs have two regions of fundamental functional importance: the anti-codon, which is responsible for specific mRNA codon recognition, and the 3' end, to which the tRNAs corresponding amino acid is attached (by aminoacyl-tRNA synthetases). tRNAs cope with the degeneracy of the genetic code in two manners: having more than one tRNA (with a specific anti-codon) for a particular amino acid; and 'wobble' base-pairing, i.e. permitting non-standard base-pairing at the 3rd anti-codon position.
Source: RNAcentral